Molecule: ribosomal RNA, 253 nt
Filed under: uncultured bacterium
Lineage: Bacteria
Description: partial 16S ribosomal RNA
Rfam family: Bacterial small subunit ribosomal RNA
Source: RNAcentral
UACGGGGGGGGCAAGCGUUGUUCGGAAUUACUGGGCGUAAAGGGCUCGUAGGUGGCCAACUAAGUCAGACGUGAAAUCCCCCGGCUUAACCGGGGAACUGCGUCUGAUACUGGAUGGCCUGAGUUUGGGAGAGGGAUGCGGAAUUCCAGGUGUAGCGGUGAAAUGCGUAGAUAUCUGGAGGAACACCGGUGGCGAAGGCGGCAUCCUGGACCAACACUGACACUGAAAAGCGAAAGCCAGGGGAGCAAACGGG